Molecule: non-coding RNA, 62 nt
Filed under: Paramoeba aestuarina
Lineage: Eukaryota; Discosea; Flabellinia; Dactylopodida; Paramoebidae
Source: RNAcentral
UAUUUCACUUUUUCCUUUGUUCCUUUUUUCCUUUUCCUUUUCUCUUAUUUCUUCUUCUUUCU